Molecule: long non-coding RNA, 1226 nt
Organism: Meriones unguiculatus (Mongolian gerbil)
Lineage: Eukaryota; Metazoa; Chordata; Mammalia; Rodentia; Muridae
Exons: 2
Source: RefSeq, a predicted model, not a curated record
GGCAAGAUGGCGGAGCCGGGAGGACUCUCAUUCUGAGCAGCAGCACAGCAGGAUCAGCACAGUGACCAGCAAUCGGAACUCUUGGCCAUAAAACACAGUCAUUGUGUUUCCCAGGCACUCAAGACUGUGGUCAUCUUGGAAUCCAGAACAAUGGGGUUGAUCAAACAUGCAUUGACUAGUGACUGAACUGGCCUCCAGCACCAGCAACCUGAGGGAAGGCCCCUGACUGUGAAGAAGUUACCUUUAACAUCUAUGGCCACACCCUGGAGCAAGCACAGUCAUCUCAUGGAGUCCAGCUUGUCCACUCAAGAGAGGACUUCUUUCUGUGGAGCCACUUUGUACUAGAGCAGAGAGAACCUUUCUUUGAAGGAGACUACUCAACUAAGCAUGCACCCUGCUUCCUUCUGCAGUUCUUCCUCUUUUAAACCUAAAACUCAUUAGUAUGCCAGUAAGACUUGGAGUCACAGAACCAGUUGAUCUGUUUCUCCUCCCAAUAUGCCAAUUUAAUUAAAUCUCCCUAUUCCCAUUUUCACCAUUACCCACCUUUAAUUGGUGUUUAGAAUGGGUGGCAGGAUGGAGGCAUUUUCCUUAAAACUCUAAUAAUUUUUAUUUGUGUAUUUUUCACAUCUAUUUGAUUUUUUUUAAGAAUCCAUUUUAUAAAUUACUCAUCUGGGUGGCUGUUUUUUUCCUCCUUCCCACAUUUUGACCUGAGUGAGUGCUUCGCUUGGCUGUCUAAAGCUAGAGCCACUCCCUGGGUUAUCACGUAGAACCUAAGAAGUGAGUGUCAGUCAAGUUGGAGACCAGAAAUAUAACCAACGGAGAAACACAGCCUAGAGAGCAUGCACAUGGGGACUCCUGGGAAAGGGAAGGGAAGGUGACAUAAGUUUGCCAGAACUCUGGAGGCUUAUUUCAUAUCAGACUUCCAGUUUCCCUUUGAGGCAGACUGGGAACAGGAGGGAGGUACAGAUUCUGAGAUGAAUGUAUGAAAGACAGCCAGAAUGGAAAGACUGGAAGCCCUUUGCCAGCCUUGGCUGCAUUCAAACUAGAGGACAGGUUUAAACAAGUCUUCAUUAUAGGAACUUGGGAAAGGAAGGUUCUAUAUAAAAGACCCAUAAAAAGUCACAUGGCCCCUGUCUCUGUUCUUCUUGCCCCAAGCAAGGGCACAGAUGAAGUUGGCACAUCUGCAUGCUCCUCUAUUUUUUAAUAAACCAUCUUUUCUCCUGUAA